RNAcentral lists this transfer RNA (77 nucleotides) under Vibrio cholerae O1 biovar El Tor. RNAcentral describes it as "tRNA-Val". It matches the Rfam family "tRNA". From Rfam's summary of the family: Transfer RNA (tRNA) molecules are approximately 80 nucleotides in length. Their secondary structure includes four short double-helical elements and three loops (D, anti-codon, and T loops). Further hydrogen bonds mediate the characteristic L-shaped molecular structure. tRNAs have two regions of fundamental functional importance: the anti-codon, which is responsible for specific mRNA codon recognition, and the 3' end, to which the tRNAs corresponding amino acid is attached (by aminoacyl-tRNA synthetases). tRNAs cope with the degeneracy of the genetic code in two manners: having more than one tRNA (with a specific anti-codon) for a particular amino acid; and 'wobble' base-pairing, i.e. permitting non-standard base-pairing at the 3rd anti-codon position. Lineage: Bacteria; Pseudomonadati; Pseudomonadota; Gammaproteobacteria; Vibrionales; Vibrionaceae. The record is from RNAcentral.
GCGUCCGUAGCUCAGUUGGUUAGAGCACCACCUUGACAUGGUGGGGGUCGGUGGUUCGAGUCCACUCAGACCCACCA